AUAGAAGAUAGCAAAUCAUUCCUAGCCACUGAGGUUAUCCAAUCACAGCCAAGGUAGGCGGGUCAUGCAAAUAUCACUUCACACCCCACUCCUCCCUUGCCCUUUUGCUUCUUUUUUGGCCACAUGCCUCUCUACUUGUUCCUUCUACCUCUCCCUUGGGCAUUAAGCAGCGCGCGCGCGCGCGCGCGCGCACACACACACACACACACACACACACACAUCGGAUGUCCUCACACCCCGGGCAGCGGAGUCUCUGUGGGCUGCUCUGGAAGAGCCCUGCAGCGUGCGGUUUCUAUGGAAUGGGAACAUGUCAAUUGGCAGGAGCUCAACUUGGAAAGCAAAGCCAUGCCUUGUUGUGUCUUCGAAUUCAGACCAUUUUUUCAUAUACAUCGAAGAUAACAAACAAGGCCUAUAAGUGGAGCCAGUCAAAGGGAGCCCGAAUGCUUCAGGCGCCACCAGAGGCAAGAAGAAUGCUGGGUGGUGGCGAUACUGUUUAGGAAAGAGCCUCUGUAAUUGCUCUACUGGAGAGCCACAUUUGCACAACCCAAUUGUGUGGUGUCCGACUGAGCAAGUUAGCAAAAUAAAGACAGAUGGCAGAUUAACUCCAACCCGCCCACCAGAUGAUGGCAGCCAAUGUGGAGGACUCGGGAAAGCUUCCUGCAGUGUCUUUGCUAGAUGCCACCUAGUGACUCUCCCAAGCACUACAGUCUGCUUGCAGCAUCCACUCAGGCCCUGGUGCGAUUACAAUGAAGACAUAAAGGGAAGUGGCUGGUCCAGAAGCAUGGAGAAAUGGCUCUCGUUCUUCCAAAAUUAUCAACGGAAACAAGGAUUUACAGGAAAAUGUCUGUUAUUCAGGUAACUUUACCCCAAGGACAACACAUCCACCGCUUCCUGGAGAAGCAAGCAUACGAAAACUGACAAAGCAUUUCACGUGCAAUGAAAUGUGCACAUGUGGACCGUACCAAGAGAUUCCCCAUUGAUCCUGUCUCUUCAUACAUGGAGGCUCAGGGUGAUUCAGUCCUACGAGUAGUGCUUACUGUCGACCAGGCUCUGUGGUAAGAAUGUUUACAGCCGGUCCAUUAAACUUUGCAGUAGCCCAGGGAUCAUAACACUGAGGCUGACUUAAAGUCACCUAGUCAGGAAAAUAUCUGCUCUUAACUUCUCCAUAGUUUUGGAGAAUGUGGGUUUGAGUGAUGCUCGAAUCCCAUGCUCCCCCUGUAAGCUAUUCUCAAACAAGAGGCAGCAUUGCAUUAUGAACAGCAGGGAUCCUGUGGCAAACCUGGCCAGUCCUGGCUCUUCUGUUUCAUGCUGCCAUGGUACCCCACCAGCAGGCUUGGUUCCUCCACAUUGCCAAUGCCCUCCUGAUGACGACAGUCAAUAGUGGUGUAGGCUUAGCCUCUUCCUUAUCAGUCUCAUGUCUGGAUAUUGCCUGGCAUCCUUGGCCACCCUCCCGCCUUCUCCCCUUCCUCAGGAUGCCCCACCUAUGUUUGCUUGGUUAUAUAACUGGUUUUAUUAUGUCAACAAAUAUUUGCCAAGCACUUAUAUGCUUUUCAGUGUGCCUAGUCAGACCACACAUGGUGUCUAAUCGAGAAUGAGAAGUGUUCUUACCCAGUAAUAACAUGCUAAUAGUCCUCUUUUUAAAGAAUAUUUUUUGUAUGGCAUUCAUGCUGUAAUCUUCCCCACACCUGCUACUCUGUGAGAAGACAAGGGGUCACUGGUGUGGUUUGUUUAUGGCAUCGAUUAUGAAACAUCACGUUAAAUUUCGAUUCUGCAUGUAACAAUGUUGAAAGGUAAUGGACUUUUACAGAGGUAGUUAGGUCUCGGGAAGUCCAACCUCAUAAACAGGUGAAUGUCUUUUUUGAGAAGCUGAGUCAGGUCUCAGUCUCUCCAGAGUAGUUUCACAGGACUUGAGCAAGUUGCUAUCAAGCAAGAUUGCUUCUGGCUUUUCCACAUCUUGCACAUGCUCACUUCCCCCCUCUGCUGCAUCAGUGGCACACGAGGCCCACACCAGAAGCAGAUACGGAUGCUUGGCUCCUGUGUUUGGUGAUCCAGAACUGUGAGCCAAUAUAUAUACUAAUCACCAUUGGUCUUCUCUGUGUAGCGUUUUCUCAAUAGUACAAUGGCAAAACACAGAGGAUUUGAAAACAGGUAUAACUUGGUUUUGAACAUAGGCUGUAUUACUAAGAGCAGCCUGUGGUCAUAGGACAAUCAUUUAGCUUUUCUAUGCCUCAAUUUGCCUUAUUACAGGAAUGAAAAUCUCUCUUCCUCAUGCAUCAUCACGGGGACUUAGAAAAUGUAUAUGAAGAAUUAGACACAUGGUAGGCAUGUAGUAAGGGUGCUGUACAAAGAAGACCAGGAAGAUGCUGGGGAAGAUACCGAACUCCCCUUUGGAGCUCAGGCAUCCAUUCUCAUGGCUUCAGAAAAGCUCACAAUAAAGAUGUUUUGCUAGGAGGAGGAGGAGGGACACGAAGACCUAAAUGAGCUUAGAUGUUUGCUGCCACUACAGGAGGCUCAACUUCCAAGAGACCGCUCUCUACAGUAGCCGCCAAUAAGCCCAGGGCAUGUACCUCUCAGCAUUGCCACAACUCAAGCUGUAAUGAUCACAAGGAAGAGCUGCUUAUACCUCAGACCACCCCCGAGUGGAUGUUGAUAGGAGUCUUUAACGAGUAACAAGUAGAUUAAUUAUGUCACAUUUACUGUUUGUUUUUAAAUAUGUCAUUCCUCAAUUUUGGUGGCAGUUCUCAGAAAGUUGAUGGUUCUUAGCAAGCCACGAGUCUGGGUCAAAAAGUGUUUUGUUUUUAAAUACUAUAACUGCAAACUGAAUGACUAAUCUGUGAAGUAUAGAGACUAUCAUUAAUGUUUUAUCUCAAAUUAAAAAUAUAUAAA
Mus musculus (house mouse) is the source of this 2886-nucleotide long non-coding RNA. RefSeq annotates it as predicted gene, 51403. The record is from RefSeq and is a predicted model, not a curated record. Lineage: Eukaryota; Metazoa; Chordata; Mammalia; Rodentia; Muridae. The transcript is spliced from 2 exons.